This is a long non-coding RNA of Cyprinus carpio (common carp), 1732 nucleotides long. NCBI's taxonomy places the organism in Eukaryota, Metazoa, Chordata, Actinopteri, Cypriniformes, Cyprinidae. The record is from Ensembl.
CGGAGAACAGCCACCGAUUCACAAAACAUGAAGAUGAGCAUUUUAGCCUUUCGCUUCUGCUAAGCAAAUGUUUUAAAUCCAUUCAUCAUUGUUUAUGAGAUACACAAAUCAUGGAGCACAGAAUGCAGUGACAGUAUGGCGUCAGAUAUGUAUUGAUCUAGCUUAGGUUUUCAAAUGUAAAUAAUUCAGAAGUAUAUUUAUGGGUGUAGUAGUAAUUAUCACAGUGACAAGUUUUUUCAUAAAUUAUGAGAUUUAUAAAAGUUAUCGAAAUGUGAAAUCUUUCUCCCUAUACAAUGAAAAUACAUGUUGAUCAUUGGCUUUCAAGUUCAGUUCGCUUUGCUUGGCUUAUUACAACCCUGGUUCCUUUGCAUACUUAACUAAAAUUACACUGCUAGGUCCCUGGUGCCCCCUCAAACCAUUAAGAGCAUGACGCCUCUGUCCGUUCCAGUGGGAGGUUAGUGUGAAGACUGAGCAUUCAGAGCAGAUUGUGAAAUUCUGUGGUCUCCCUUUCAAGAAAGCUUUUAUGGAAAGCAGAACCUCUGAUAGAAGAAAGAGAAAAACAGAAAACAGACUAUGUUUUACCCUCCGUGUUUCAAAAGGAUAUGCAUUUUUAGUGCUCUAUAUUUCCAUUUCCUCUUUGUCACUGAGUACACAACAACAAAGACAAUGAGUUAGAAAUAUUUCAUUCAAGAUAAAAGACAUUCUGUUCACAGGAACAGUUCAUGUUUAUAAACAGUCAUUUCAGAAUGGUGGCAAGCAAUGAAAGUGAUGGUUACGUCCAUUUUAAAUAAGAACAAUUCGUAUCAAAGUGAAUCUCUGAAGUGUUUGACCAACGGAAGUAGGAUUUUUUUUUUCUUCUUUUGACUUGUGAUCUAGAUUGUGGGUGGGUGUAUGGCCAGGAAGUUCAUCAUUCGAGUGCAGAUGUGUCGAACACACUGAGCCCAACAACAUGUUUUUAAAAUGGACUACAAACUGUCUUUUAUUUUUGACUUUAAUUUAUCUUCCACACACAGGAGGAUGGAAUGUUUCCUCAGUAAUCAUCGGAGAAACUGUGCAUCUGUCCUGCCACUCACCCCCUAAACUCACUGAUACAUUUGAAAUAGAGUGGACAAAAAAUGGAACAAAUACUAACACUACUUGUAAAUGGAGGAUAAAUAAAGGUAUUAUAUCUUCUUUAAAUACAUGCGAUCCUCGUUUUACAUUCACCAAAGAGCCUUUCGAAAUUAAUAUAAAAGACGUUCAGCCCAGUGACUCUGGUAUUCACAGCUGUAAAAUGACAAUAAUAAUUCCACCACCAUCACUGGACUACUUCACAAAUAUGACACUCCAAGUUGUAGUUGGUCCUCAUCUGUCAUUGCAGAAACUGAACAGCAGUAAUGACACCUGUGUCCAUCUGCUCUGCUCUAUGGAGGAUCUGAAGCCUGAGCAGGUGAACUUCACCUGGAGCCGGGGUGAAAGGUCACUUUAUCCAUUCACAUCUUAUGCCAUGAACAGCGAGCUGCGUCUGUGUAAACCUGACUGGAGUGAAGGAGACACAAUCACCUGUUACGCCAACUACUCAAGUACACAAACCCAAAAAAGUAUACAACUCACCUCAGAGACAACUUCUGACAUAGUUGUUAACGGUGUGCUGUUCCAGCUGCUGACCAUCUCAUGCAGUGCUGCUGCAGGCCUCAUCCUCUGCAUCAUCCUCACAGUAGUUAUUUGCAAAUGUGAGUAUGAUUAUAUUUGA